UGCCAGACACUAAACAGUCUGUAUUUGCUCUCUGAAUUGAUCAGAUGGAAAGUUAAUACCUGACCAUUUAUUAUGGUUAUUAGAGACAUUUACCACCCUCAGUCGAGUGAGUUUUAGUUUUCAUAUAGUAUCCACCAAAUGCAAGCAUCUGGGAAAAUCCAAAGCAUUUAAGCACCUUCAUUAGGAGAUCUGACACCUCAGCCCUCUGCAAACACCUGUACAUAACAUAUGCAUCAUUAAAAAUAAAAUAAAUUCUAGAAAAAAUCUC
This 268-nucleotide long non-coding RNA is filed under the name Rattus norvegicus (Norway rat). RNAcentral describes it as "long non-coding RNA NONRATT003744". Lineage: Eukaryota; Metazoa; Chordata; Mammalia; Rodentia; Muridae. The record is from RNAcentral.